RNAcentral lists this transfer RNA (77 nucleotides) under Corynebacterium ammoniagenes. RNAcentral's name for it is "tRNA-Ile". It matches the Rfam family "tRNA". From Rfam's summary of the family: Transfer RNA (tRNA) molecules are approximately 80 nucleotides in length. Their secondary structure includes four short double-helical elements and three loops (D, anti-codon, and T loops). Further hydrogen bonds mediate the characteristic L-shaped molecular structure. tRNAs have two regions of fundamental functional importance: the anti-codon, which is responsible for specific mRNA codon recognition, and the 3' end, to which the tRNAs corresponding amino acid is attached (by aminoacyl-tRNA synthetases). tRNAs cope with the degeneracy of the genetic code in two manners: having more than one tRNA (with a specific anti-codon) for a particular amino acid; and 'wobble' base-pairing, i.e. permitting non-standard base-pairing at the 3rd anti-codon position. Lineage: Bacteria; Bacillati; Actinomycetota; Actinomycetes; Mycobacteriales; Corynebacteriaceae. RNAcentral also lists the same sequence under 181 other names. The record is from RNAcentral.
GGGCCUAUAGCUCAGUCGGUUAGAGCGCAUCGCUGAUAACGAUGAGGUCGCAAGUUCGAUUCUUGCUAGGCCCACCA